RNAcentral lists this ribosomal RNA (235 nucleotides) under uncultured bacterium. Its description in RNAcentral is "partial 16S ribosomal RNA". It matches the Rfam family "Bacterial small subunit ribosomal RNA", at positions 96 to 334 of the family's 1533-position model. The record is from RNAcentral.
UGGCGGACGGGGGAGUAAUGUCUGGGAAACUGCCUGAUGGAGGGGGGUAACUACUGGAAACGGUAGCUAAUACCGCAUAACGUCGCAAGACCAAAGAGGGGACCGUUCGGGCCUCUUGCCAUCGGAUGUGCCCAGAUGGGAUUAGCUAGUAGGUGGGGUAACGGCUCACCUAGGCGACGAUCCCUAGCUGGUCUGAGAGGAUGACCAGCCACACUGGAACUGAGACACGGUCCAG